Molecule: ribosomal RNA, 622 nt
Filed under: uncultured Alphaproteobacteria bacterium
Lineage: Bacteria; Pseudomonadati; Pseudomonadota; Alphaproteobacteria
Description: bacterial SSU rRNA
Rfam family: Bacterial small subunit ribosomal RNA
Source: RNAcentral
CAUGCCUAAUACAUGCAAGUCGAACGAGAUCUUCGGAUCUAGUGGCGCACGGGUGCGUAACGCGUGGGAAUCUGCCCUUGGGUUCGGAAUAACAUCUGGAAACGGAUGCUAAUACCGAAUGAUGACGUAAGUCCAAAGAUUUAUCGCCCAAGGAUGAGCCCGCGUAGGAUUAGCUAGUUGGUGAGGUAAAGGCUCACCAAGGCUACGAUCCUUAGCUGGUCUGAGAGGAUGAUCAGCCACACUGGGACUGAGACACGGCCCAGACUCCUACGGGAGGCAGCAGUAGGGAAUAUUGGACAAUGGGGGCAACCCUGAUCCAGCAAUGCCGCGUGAGUGAUGAAGGCCUUAGGGUUGUAAAGCUCUUUUACCCGAGAUGAUAAUGACAGUAUCGGGAGAAUAAGCUCCGGCUAACUCCGUGCCAGCAGCCGCGGUAAUACGGAGGGAGCUAGCGUUGUUCGGAAUUACUGGGCGUAAAGCGCACGUAGGCGGUUAUUUAAGUCAGAGGUGAAAGCCCGGGGCUCAACCCCGGAACUGCCUUUGAGACUGGAUAACUUGAAUCCAGGAGAGGUGAGUGGAAUUCCGAGUGUAGAGGUGAAAUUCGUAGAUAUUCGGAAGAACACCA